GCUAAUAAUCUAGCCCCCCAACAUUUAAUGAACCCUAAACACUUCAUCACAAAAACUAAAACAUUUUACCGAUUUAGUAAAGGAGAUUAAAAGAUUAGUAAGAGCAACAUAAAUAGUACCGCAAGGGAAAGCUGAAAUAAAAGUGAAAUAAACAUUAAGCAUAAAAUAGUAGAGAUUAACCCUCGUACCUUUUGCAUCAUGGUUUAACAAGUCUAAUCAAGCACAACGACUUAAAGUUUGACUUCCCGAAACUAAGUGAGCUACUUCAAGGCAGCUUAUUGAGCGAACCCGUCUCUGUUGCAAAAGAGUGGGAAGACCUUCAAGUAGGGGUGACAGACCUAACGAACUUAGUGAUAGCUGGUUAUUCAAGAAAAGGAUUUAAGUCCGGCCUAAAAUCUUUUUAGUUCUUCAAAACAUAACCUUGAUUUUAAAGUAAUUCAAAUAAGGUACAGCCUAUUUGAAAAAGGAUACAACCUAAGCUAAUGGGUAAUAAUAUAACUUUAUAACUAAGUGGGCCUAAAAGCAGCCACCUUUAAAAUAGCGUCAAAGCUUUACUGUAUCAUACACAUAAUCCCUUUUAAAUUUUAUAACCCUUUAAUUUUAUUGAAUAAUUUUAUAAUUUUAUAGAAAGUAUAAUGUUAAAACUAGUAACAAGAAGACGACCUUCUCUUUAAUGUAAGUGUAAAUCAGAAAACCUCACUGAUAAUUAACCCUAAUGAAAUUGUAUUAGUAACCUCGCAAGAAAACCCUAAUAAAUCCCGAGUUAAUCUAACACAAGAACAUUACAAGAAAGAUUAAAAGAAAAAGAAGGAACUCGGCAAACAUUAACCUCGCCUGUUUACCAAAAACAUCGCCUCUUGAAUCAUUAUAAGAGGUCCAGCCUGCCCAGUGACUUUGUUCAACGGCCGCGGUAUCCUAACCGUGCGAAGGUAGCGUAAUCACUUGUCUUUUAAAUGGGGACCUGUAUGAAUGGCAUCACGAGGGUUAUACUGUCUCCUUUUUCUAAUCAGUGAAACUAAUCUUCCCGUGAAGAAGCGGGGAUAAUUUUAUAAGACGAGAAGACCCUAUGGAGCUUUAAACUUAAUAACAUAUACUGAUUCUAUUUUAACUUCCAGAAUAUUAACUUAAACUUUAGUACAAUGAUUAUUAGUUUUAGGUUGGGGUGACCGCGGAGUAAAAAUUAACCUCCACAUUGAACAGGACCUAUUCUUGAACCAAGGGCUACAACCCUAAGCACCAAUAAAUUGACAUUAAUUGACCCAAUAUUUUGAUCAACGAACCAAGUUACCCUAGGGAUAACAGCGCAAUCCACUUCAAGAGCCCCUAUCGACAAGUGGGUUUACGACCUCGAUGUUGGAUCAGGGUACCCCAGUGGUGCAGCCGCUACUAAAGGUUCGUUUGUUCAACGAUUAAAACCCU
This 1419-nucleotide ribosomal RNA is filed under the name Osteocephalus deridens. RNAcentral describes it as "partial 16S ribosomal RNA". It matches the Rfam family "Bacterial large subunit ribosomal RNA", at positions 133 to 2597 of the family's 2925-position model. The record is from RNAcentral. Lineage: Eukaryota; Metazoa; Chordata; Amphibia; Anura; Hylidae.